CUGAAAUGAAACCUUUCUGUCGCUGAGAUAGCUGC
This 35-nucleotide small RNA is filed under the name Bombyx mori (domestic silkworm). RNAcentral's name for it is "ovarian small RNA-14818". Lineage: Eukaryota; Metazoa; Arthropoda; Insecta; Lepidoptera; Bombycidae. The record is from RNAcentral.